UUAAAUCAGUUAUCGUUUAUUUGAUAGUACCUUACUACAUGGAUAACCGUGGUAAUUCUAGAGCUAAUACAUGCUAAAAACCCCGACUUCGGAAGGGGUGUAUUUAUUAGAUAAAAAACCAAUGCCCUUCGGGGCUCCUUGGUGAAUCAUAAUAACUUAACGGAUCGCAUGGCCUUGCGCCGGCGACGGUUCAUUCAAAUUUCUGCCCUAUCAACUUUCGAUGGUAAGGUAUUGGCUUACCAUGGUUUCAACGGGUAACGGGGAAUUAGGGUUCGAUUCCGGAGAGGGAGCCUGAGAAACGGCUACCACAUCCAAGGAAGGCAGCAGGCGCGCAAAUUACCCAAUCCCGACACGGGGAGGUAGUGACAAUAAAUACUGAUACAGGGCUCUUUUGGGUCUUGUAAUCGGAAUGAGUACAAUUUAAACCCCUUAACGAGGAACAAUUGGAGGGCAAGUCUGGUGCCAGCAGCCGCGGUAAUUCCAGCUCCAAUAGCGUAUAUUAAAGUUGUUGCAGUUAAAAAGCUCG
RNAcentral lists this ribosomal RNA (526 nucleotides) under uncultured eukaryote. RNAcentral describes it as "SSU rRNA". It matches the Rfam family "Eukaryotic small subunit ribosomal RNA", at positions 101 to 630 of the family's 1831-position model. The record is from RNAcentral.